AACCCAUGGUGAAGGCACCUUCUCAAUAAACCCUUAUACCUCUUCCAUGCAUCGUACAGGGUCUCUAAGUCCAAUUGCACAAAGGAAGAGAUAUCAUUCCUCAACUU
Molecule: small nucleolar RNA, 107 nt
Filed under: Gossypium arboreum
Lineage: Eukaryota; Viridiplantae; Streptophyta; Magnoliopsida; Malvales; Malvaceae
Also listed under: 1 other name
Description: Plant small nucleolar RNA R71
Rfam family: Plant small nucleolar RNA R71
About the family: R71 is a member of the C/D box family of snoRNAs containing the C (UGAUGA) and D (CUGA) box motifs.
Source: Rfam by way of RNAcentral